CUCCAGCGUCGCGCCCCUCUCCCUAGCACUUCCCCAGGCCGCAUCCUGGUAUUGGCUUCUAGUGCCCCCUUCUCUCUAUGUGUGCAGUACAUAGGAACACUGCUCCCUUCCUCUAGCUCCAGCUCGGCCACCCUCCUGCUGCUCGCCAUGGCCGUCGUGCCCUGGACCUUGCUCCAGCUCACCUCGUCCCUCUCCGCCCUCUGCCAUGGAAUUCGCUCGGCGCCCUUAGCCUUCGACCACGGAGCUUGCUGGUCCUCCCUGCCCUGAGCUCGUCCCAUGGCGCUUGGACCGCGCCCCUUGUUAUAGUAAGCCCAGAAUUAGUGUUUAUUUCUUAGCAAGUAGAUUAGCACACAAUCACCUUCCAGGUAUUGUGAUUUACUUACCAAUUUCUACUGCAUGUAAUUCCUUUAUAAAGAGAUAGAGAACAACCAGAAAAUGCAGUCUGAUUGACAGCACCAAAUCCAUCGUCUCCUCUGUAUCUGCUUCUCGUGUGUCAUCAUCCUCGCCGGAGUUCUAACAUUUGGUACCAGAGCCAGUUCUCCGCCAUCGCUAUGUCGCACAAGUCGCCAUCCAUGAAGAGGCCGACGGACGACAGCGACGGCGAGAACAAGGUCAGGCCCUCGCGAUCGCCGCCACGACGCCGCGGCCGGUCUUACAGCCGCCGCCGCUCCGACUCGCGCAUCGUCGAGCGCGUCAUCGAGCGCCCGUCCGCGAACGUUGCAUGGCCAAUGCUCACGCGGACGAACUACUCCGAGUGGGCGCUCGUGAUGCAGGUUAAUUACCAGACUCUUCGUGUCUGGGACGCCGUCGAGAUCGGGAUCGAUGAAGACGCCGACGAAAACGAGUAUCAACAGGACCGCCAAGCCAUGGCGGGUCUCCUGCGCUCGGUUCCCUCCGAGAUGUGGGCGACGCUCGGACGCAAGCAGACCGUCAAGGAGGCAUGGGACGCCGUCAAGGUACUCCGGAUUGGUGACGACUGCGCGCGCGACGUCAGCGCGCAGCACCUGCGCCGCGAGUUCGGCGCAAUCGUCUUCAAGAAAGGCGAGACCGUCUCCGAGUUCGGCAUCCGCAUCUCGACGCUCGCCACCGACCUCCGCGUCCUCGGCGACGGAAUCACUGACGCAGAGGUGGUGAAGAAGCUUCUGCAGGUUGUGCCAGAACGCCUGUCGCAGGCGGCCGUUUCUCUCGAGAUGUUCUUGGAUCUGAACAAGGUCUCGAUCGAGGAGGUCGUCGGGCGGCUGCGAGUCUUCGAAGAACGGGGCAAGCCCAAGGAGGUCACGGACGCCAUGGGGCGCCUAAUGCUCUGUGAGGAGGACUGGGAGGCCCGCCGCAAAGCUUGCCGUGAGCAGGAGCGCUCAGGGAGCGGAUCUGGGUCCGGCGGCCGCGGCAACCGCCGUGGACGCGGACGCGGACGAGGCAGCGGCGGCCGUGAUGGCCAGAACUCGGCGACCAGGCAUGCUAGCAGCGGCAAGCCGCCCCCGGGCGAUCGCUGCAACAGCUGUGGCAAAACUGGCCAUUGGGCCAAAGAUUGCCGCGGAAGGAAGAAGGGCGCGGCUCAUGUCACGCAGGCCGAGGAAGAAGAGCACGCGCUCAUGUACAUCGCCGCCGAAGCCAAGGUAACAAUGCCGGAUAUGUCGUGCUCACAUCACAGGUCACCGCUGCACCUCGUCGAGCCGCCGGUUCAUGUUCACCUCGACGAACCAAAGGUGCUCCUCCACCUCAGCCAGGAGGAGGAGACUGCGGUUUCUCGCCGCUGGGUGCUCGACACUGGUGCGACGAAUCACAUGACGGGCUCGCGGGCUGUCUUCGCUGAGCUGAACACCGGUGUCAUCGGCACCGUCAAAUUCGGCGACGGGUCGGUGGUCGACAUCGAGGGCAAGGGCACUGUCCUCUUCGUGUGCAAGUCCGGCGAGCACCGUCGUCUUGAUGGGGUCUACUACAUCCCGCGCCUCACCACCAACAUCGUGAGCCUCGGCCAAAUGGACCAGGACGGGUUCAAGGUCGACAUCGAGUCCGGCGUUCUGCGCCUCUACGACCUGCAGCGCAAACUGCUGGCGAAGGUGCAUCGAUCACCUAGCCGGCUGUACUUCCUCGACAUGAACAUCGCUGCCCCGGUGUGUCUCACCGCGCGGGUUGGCGACGUGGCGUGGCGCUGGCAUGAGCGCUACGGUCACCUCAACUUCCAGUCGCUGCGCAAGCUCGGACGUGCGGACAUGGUGCGAGGACUGCCGGCGAUUGACCACGUCGACCAAGUCUGCGAGGACUGCGUUCUAGCAAAACAAAAGAGGACGUCGUUCUCGCAGGCUGCCAAGUUCCGGGCUCAGGGGGAGCUCGAACUCGUACACGGUGACCUCUGUGGCCCGAUCUCGCCACCUACGCCGGCCGGGAACGCCUACUUCCUGCUGUUGGUCGACGACAUGAGCCGUUACAUGUGGCUCACGCUGUUGCGUUCAAAGGCAGAUGCACCAGCAGCGAUCAUGGCGUUCCAGGCGCGUGUCGAGCGUGAAACCGGCAAGAAGCUGAAGGUACUUCGUACCGACAAUGGUGGUGAGUUCACAUCUGUGCAGUUUGGCAAAUACUGUGCAGGAGAAGGCAUCCAACGACACUACUCAGCGCCGUACUCGCCGCAACAAAAUGGCGUUGUAGAGCGCCGAAACCAGAUGAUAGUGAACACGGCGAGGAGUAUCCUGCGUGCGCGGAGCAUGCCGGGGUACUUUUGGGGAGAAGCGGUGCACACCGCUGUCUUCCUCCUCAACCGGGCGCCCACCAGCGCGCUCGACGGGCUGACACCGUACCAGGCGUGGUACAAGAAGAAGCCGCCCAUGCACUUCCUCAAGGUGUUCGGGUGCGUUGCUUACAUCAAGAACCUGCGUCCACACCUCAGCAAGCUUGAUGACCGCGGGCAGAAGGUCGUCUUCAUCGGCUACCAGGACGGGUCGAAGGCGUAUCGUUUCUACGACCCCGUCACCGAGCGCAUCCAUGUCUCACGCGACGCCGUCUUUGACGAGAGCGCGCGCUGGGACUGGGGAGAAGCAUUGACGGCGGGAAGCGAGGACUCGUUCACGGUGGAGUACGACUACAGGAGCCACGAUGAGGUGGCUGUACCCAGAUCGUCAUCGCUGGGGACACCGUCCCCACCGGGCACACCACCUUCGACAGGCGCACCGGCCGCACCGGGCACGACGACUACACCUGCUUCGCCAUCAACUGCUCCACGAGCUGUGACUCCGCGACCAGCAACACCUGGUGCCGGGCUACGCAUCGAGUUCGCGACGCCGCUCACCACCGACCUGAACUUCGACGCUGAUGAUAAAGGGAAGAGGGAGCUCCGGUACCGGACGCUGGACAACAUCCACAGCGUGGGUGCAGCGCCCGGGCUGGUACGCCAUGACGUCGAGGAAGCUGAGCUGCAUGCCGUGAACGUGGAGGAGCCCAGGACCUUGAAGGAGGCCGAUGGUGACCCAAAUUGGGUUGCCGCGAUGGAGGAGGAGCUGGCGUCGAUCCGUGACAACAAGACAUGGUCGCUGGCCGAGCUCCCGCGUGGUCACCGCGCCAUAGGCCUCAAGUGGGUGUACAAAGUCAAGCGUGAUGAGAACGGCAACAUCGUCAAGUACAAGGCCCGCCUCGUCGCCAAGGGCUAUGUGCAGCAGCCUGGCGUCGACUUCGACGAGGUCUUCGCGCCGGUUGCACGACUGGAAUCCGUGCGCCUGCUCCUUGCCAUCGCAGCGCACUACGGCUGGGGCAUCCAUCACAUGGACGUGAAGUCGGCGUUUUUGAACGGGGAGCUCCAGGAAGAAGUCUACGUCCAGCAACCCCCUGGUUUCGUCGACGACAAGCACAAGUAUAAGGUGCUCCGGCUUCACAAAGCUUUGUACGGGCUUCGCCAAGCCCCACGCGCCUGGAACCAGAAGCUUGAUGCCGAGCUGCUGGCCCUUGGCUUCGCGCGCUGUGUUGAUGAGCAUGGCAUGUACACUCGAGGCAAGGGAGAAGCACGCCUGAUCGUGGGCGUAUAUGUUGAUGAUUUGAUCAUCACAGGUGGCGAUGCAGGAACUGUGGCGAAGUUCAAGGUGCAGAUGCAGAAGAUCUUCAAGAUGAGUGAUCUUGGGCUCCUCUCCUAUUACCUGGGGCUCGAGGUCACCCAAGGAGCACAAGGGAUCACGCUGCGUCAGAGUGCCUACGCCACCAAAGUGCUUGAGAAGGCGGGCUUAGCUGGCUGCAAUGCCAGUGCCACGCCCAUGGAGCCGAAGCUGAAGCUGCUAAAGGAGGGGACGACGCCGAGGGUGGAUAUCACAGAAUACCGCAGCCUUAUCGGCAGUCUCAGGUAUCUGUGCAACUCUAGGCCGGACUUAGCGUAUCCGGUAGGAUAUCUUAGCCGGUUCAUGGAGGCGCCGUGUCAAGAGCACCUUGGUGGGAUCAAGCGUGUUCUUCGGUAUGUCGCAGGCACGCUGCACUGGGGCCUGCACUACCAUCCGAGCAGGAAGAAUGGAGGAGCGCCACAACUGCUGGGUUACUCUGACAGUGACUUGGCAGGAGAUGUCAAUGACCGGAAGAGCACCAGCGGCCUCAUCUUCUUCCUGGCUGGAGGGCCGGUUGCUUGGCAAUCGGCGAAACAAAAGGUUGUUGCUCUGUCUUCCUGUGAGGCGGAGUAUAUCGCGGCCGCUGCGGCCGCGUGCGAGGCAGUCUGGUUGGCACGGCUGCUGGCUGAGCUCAUCGGAGGAGCAGUGCUCGCUCCCAAGCUCAAGGUGGACAACAAGUCCGCCAUCGCACUGAUGAAGAAUCAUGUGCAUCAUGACCGGAGCAAGCACAUAGACGUGAAGUUCCACUUCAUCCAGGAAUGCUGCGACAGGAAGCUGAUCGACGUCGAAUUCGUCGGUACGAAGCACCAGCUGGGCGACAUUCUCACAAAGGCGCUUGGUCGAACUCGGUUCCAGGAGCUUCGUGGUUGGAUCGGCAUGAAAAAACUUGUAUAAAUAAUAAUCAUGGGCUUAGGAGGAGAUUGUUAUAGUAAGCCCAGAAUUAGUGUUUAUUUCUUAGCAAGUAGAUUAGCACACAAUCACCUUCCAGGUAUUGUGAUUUACUUACCAAUUUCUACUGCAUGUAAUUCCUUUAUAAAGAGAUAGAGAAC
This 5125-nucleotide long non-coding RNA is filed under the name Zea mays. RNAcentral describes it as "long non-coding RNA (ZMAY_LNC002469)". The record is from RNAcentral. Lineage: Eukaryota; Viridiplantae; Streptophyta; Magnoliopsida; Poales; Poaceae.